GUCUAUAGCCAUGCCACGCUCAACAAGCCCGAUCCCGUCUGAUCUCAGAAGCUAAGCAGGGUCGGGCCUGGUUAGUACUUGGAAGGGAGACCACCUAGGAAGACCAGGUGCUGUAGGAG
Molecule: ribosomal RNA, 119 nt
Filed under: Pteropus alecto (black flying fox)
Lineage: Eukaryota; Metazoa; Chordata; Mammalia; Chiroptera; Pteropodidae
Source: RNAcentral